UCCGGSGACCUCAACCGCCCAAGACGCAUUUGUCUCUCGUCCUAAGGACGCUGCAGCCGGUCUGGAAGUGCCAGCGCGACGGCCUGAAGGCGGGGAGCCGGCAGGUGGCCGGAAGCGUGCCUCGAGCGCGCCUUCGGUUGUUAGCCUUCCUCGCAGUGGCUCGUCUCCAGACCGUGGUGUCGCGAGACCCUUCGGGGUCUCAUCGUCUCCACCCAGAGUCGCGGAACAGGGCCCGGCCAGGGUUCUCUCGUCCGACCGUCGCACUACCACGGAGUGGACGGACGGGCCAGGGUCCCGAAUCGCCGGGACGGAUCCGCGGGGGACCGGAGGCUGGCAGCGAGUAGGUCGGUCACCCACCCGACCCGUCUUGAAACACGGACCAAGGAGUCUAACAUGUGCGCGAGUCAGUGAGUCUUGACUAGGCUCACGGGCGCAAUGAAAGCGAAGGAUCGCCUCAGCGCGAUCUCAGUGGGGAUCCCUUCUCCUCGAGGGAGGGGCGCACCCACGACACGUCCUAUCCGACUCGUCGGUUGUGCGUAGUCUGAGCGUACACGUUGGGACCCGMAAGAUGGUGAACUAUGCCCGGACAGGACGAG
This 596-nucleotide ribosomal RNA is filed under the name Euophrys monadnock. RNAcentral describes it as "eukaryotic LSU rRNA". The stretch from base 379 to 596 matches the Rfam family "Eukaryotic large subunit ribosomal RNA", at positions 665 to 850 of the family's 3401-position model. The record is from RNAcentral. Lineage: Eukaryota; Metazoa; Arthropoda; Arachnida; Araneae; Salticidae.